AAAAAACCUAAAAAUGAAAAGGGCGGGUACUGGAAGGGCUGAUCAAAACUGUGAAGGCGAUAAUGGCGACUUCUUCUUCUACACCUUCAGUUCUCUUCACCAAUCCAGUCCCCAAAAUCAUCUCAAAACCCUCUUCUGAAGUUGUGGUUAGGGUUCCUUCCAAAACCUUGAGGUCUCUCCACCUCAACUGCAGGCGAAACCACAACGGUUCCACGAGAUUGAAUGCGGCUGGAUUGUCUGAGAUAGAACCGGAUCUCAACGAAGACAAAAUUGAUCGUUGGCGCACUAAUGGCAUCAGUCCUGAAGAUUUCGUUUAUGGAGAGUACGAUGGGCACCACACUUAUCAUGAGGGCCAUGAAAAAGGAACUUUUUGGGGAGCAGUUGCAGAAGAUUAUGCGGCUGUAGAGCCCCCUACGGGUUUCCAGGGCCUCAUUUCAUGGAUUUUCCCUCCUGCAGUAGCUGUUGGUUAUGCAUACCAUGUCCCGGGGGACUACAUAUUCAUUGGAGCAGCUGUUUUUGUGGUAAUAUUUUGCGCGAUUGAGAUGGGAAAACCAGAUAAACCCCAUAACUUUGAGCCUCAGAUCUACAAUAUGGAGAGGGGAGCUCGUGAUAAAUUAAUCUCUGAUUACAACACAAUGGACAUAUGGGAUUUCAAUGAGAAAUAUGGUGACCUUUGGGAUUUCACUGUGAAGAAAGAUGACAUAGAGAAAAGAUAAACAUUUGGCACAGACAGGCAGCUUGGCUUUAAUUGAAAUAUGAAGAUGAGCAAUGCAAGGACAGAGUUCAGAGAUCCUUUGAUCCUUUCAGAGGGUAGUACAUUCGUAUUGGAUAUAUUACUGAGGCUGUUUCUGCAGAUGGCGGGUGUAUUAGAGCACAGUUUGAUUGAGAUCAUGAUGGUUCUGUUGUUACA
Telopea speciosissima is the source of this 910-nucleotide RNA transcript. It is a transcript of the gene named photosynthetic NDH subunit of subcomplex B 5, chloroplastic, with no coding region annotated. Lineage: Eukaryota; Viridiplantae; Streptophyta; Magnoliopsida; Proteales; Proteaceae. The record is from RefSeq and is a predicted model, not a curated record. The transcript is spliced from 6 exons.